GGUGAGUAACACGUGGGUAACCUACCUAUAAGACUGGGACAACUUCGGGAAACCGGAGCUAAUACCGGAUAAUAUGUUGAACCGCAUGGUUCAAUAGUGAAAGAUGGUUUUGCUAUCACUUAUAGAUGGACCCGCGCCGUAUUAGCUAGUUGGUGAGGUAACGGCUCACCAAGGCAACGAUACGUAGCCGACCUGAGAGGGUGAUCGGCCACACUGGAACUGAGACACGGUCCAGACUCCUACGGGAGGCAGCAGUAGGGAAUCUUCCGCAAUGGGCGAAAGCCUGACGGAGCAACGCCGCGUGAGUGAUGAAGGUCUUAGGAUCGUAAAACUCUGUUAUUAGGGAAGAACAAACGUGUAAGUAACUGUGCACGUCUUGACGGUACCUAAUCAGAAAGCCACGGCUAACUACGUGCCAGCAGCCGCGGUAAUACGUAGGUGGCAAGCGUUAUCCGGAAUUAUUGGGCGUAAAGCGCGCGUAGGCGGUUUUUUAAGUCUGAUGUGAAAGCCCACGGCUCAACCGUGGAGGGUCAUUGGAAACUGGAAAACUUGAGUGCAGAAGAGGAAAGUGGAAUUCCAUGUGUAGCGGUGAAAUGCGCAGAGAUAUGGAGGAACACCAGUGGCGAAGGCGACUUUCUGGUCUGUAACUGACGCUGAUGUGCGAAAGCGUGGGGAUCAAACAGGAUUAGAUACCCUGGUAGUCCACGCCGUAAACGAUGAGUGCUAAGUGUUAGGGGGUUUCCGCCCCUUAGUGCUGCAGCUAACGCAUUAAGCACUCCGCCUGGGAGUACGAC
RNAcentral lists this ribosomal RNA (794 nucleotides) under uncultured Staphylococcus sp. RNAcentral describes it as "bacterial SSU rRNA". It matches the Rfam family "Bacterial small subunit ribosomal RNA", at positions 105 to 886 of the family's 1533-position model. The record is from RNAcentral. Lineage: Bacteria; Bacillati; Bacillota; Bacilli; Caryophanales; Staphylococcaceae.